This 496-nucleotide ribosomal RNA is filed under the name uncultured bacterium. RNAcentral's name for it is "partial 16S ribosomal RNA". It matches the Rfam family "Bacterial small subunit ribosomal RNA", at positions 28 to 506 of the family's 1533-position model. The record is from RNAcentral.
GAUGAACGCUGGCGGCGUGCCUAAUACAUGCGAGUCGAGCGAACAGACGAGGAGCUUGCUCCUCUGACGUUAGCGGCGGACGGGUGAGUAACACGUGGAUAACCUACCUAUAAGACUGGGAUAACUUCGGGAAACCGGAGCUAAUACCGGAUAAUAUAUUGAACCGCAUGGUUCAAUAGUGAAAGACGGUUUUGCUGUCACUUAUAGAUGGAUCCGCGCCGCAUUAGCUAGUUGGUAAGGUAACGGCUUACCAAGGCGACGAUGCGUAGCCGACCUGAGAGGGUGAUCGGCCACACUGGAACUGAGACACGGUCCAGACUCCUACGGGAGGCAGCAGUAGGGAAUCUUCCGCAAUGGGCGAAAGCUUGACGGAGCAACGCCGCGUGAGUGAUGAAGGUCUUCGGAUCGUAAAACUCUGUUAUUAGGGAAGAACAAAUGUGUAAGUAACUAUGCACGUCUUGACGGUACCUAAUCAGAAAGCCACGGCUAACUACGU